GUGGCUCCACUCACUUCCUUC
RNAcentral lists this microRNA (21 nucleotides) under Pongo pygmaeus (Bornean orangutan). Its description in RNAcentral is "ppy-miR-647". Its record names the gene ppy-miR-647. Lineage: Eukaryota; Metazoa; Chordata; Mammalia; Primates; Hominidae. The record is from miRBase by way of RNAcentral.